GACGAACGCUGGCGGCGUGCCUAAUACAUGCAAGUUGAGCGCUGAAGGUUGGUACUUGUACCAACUGGAUGAGCAGCGAACGGGUGAGUAACGCGUGGGGAAUCUGCCUUUGAGCGGGGGACAACAUUUGGAAACGAAUGCUAAUACCGCAUAAAAACUUUAAACACAAGUUUUAAGUUUGAAAGAUGCAAUUGCAUCACUCAAAGAUGAUCCCGCGUUGUAUUAGCUAGUUGGUGAGGUAAAGGCUCACCAAGGCGAUGAUACAUAGCCGACCUGAGAGGGUGGUCGACCACAAUGGGACUGAGACACGGCCCAAACUCCUACGGGAGGCAGCAGUAGGGAAUCUUCGGAAAUGGACGAAAGUCUGACCGAGCAACGCCGCGUGAGUGAAGAAGGUUUUCGGAUCGUAAAACUCUGUUGGUAGAGAAGAACGUUGGUGAGAGUGGAAAGCUCAUCAAGUGACGGUAACUACCCAGAAAGGGACGGCUAACUACGUG
Molecule: ribosomal RNA, 497 nt
Filed under: uncultured bacterium
Lineage: Bacteria
Description: partial 16S ribosomal RNA
Rfam family: Bacterial small subunit ribosomal RNA
Source: RNAcentral